AUAGUUUGGUAAUAGAGCACUUGCCUCACAAGCAAGAAGUCCUGGGUUCAAUCCUCAGU
This 59-nucleotide transfer RNA is filed under the name Cavia porcellus (domestic guinea pig). It matches the Rfam family "tRNA", at positions 7 to 64 of the family's 71-position model. From Rfam's summary of the family: Transfer RNA (tRNA) molecules are approximately 80 nucleotides in length. The record is from Rfam by way of RNAcentral. Lineage: Eukaryota; Metazoa; Chordata; Mammalia; Rodentia; Caviidae.